This 403-nucleotide ribosomal RNA is filed under the name uncultured bacterium. RNAcentral's name for it is "bacterial SSU rRNA". It matches the Rfam family "Bacterial small subunit ribosomal RNA", at positions 354 to 774 of the family's 1533-position model. The record is from RNAcentral.
GUGGGGAAUCUUGCACAAUGGGGGCAACCCUGAUGCAGCGACGCCGCGUGAGCGAUGAAGCCCUUCGGGGCGUAAAGCUCUUUCGACCGGAACGAUAAUGACGGUACCUGAGGAGGAAGCCACGGCUAACUACGUGCCAGCAGCCGCGGUAAUACGUAGGUGGCAAGCGUUGUCCGGAUUUACUGGGCGUAAAGGGAGCGUAGGCGGACUUUUAAGUGAGAUGUGAAAUACCCGGGCUCAACCUGGGUGCUGCAUUUCAAACUGGAAGUCUAGAGUGCAGGAGAGGAGAGUGGAAUUCCUAGUGUAGCGGUGAAAUGCGUAGAGAUUAGGAAGAACACCAGUGGCGAAGGCGACUCUCUGAACUGUAACUGACGCUGAGGCUCGAAAGCGUGGGGAGCAAACA